RNAcentral lists this ribosomal RNA (539 nucleotides) under Penicillium sp. Z168. RNAcentral's name for it is "eukaryotic LSU rRNA". The stretch from base 160 to 312 matches the Rfam family "5.8S ribosomal RNA". Lineage: Eukaryota; Fungi; Ascomycota; Eurotiomycetes; Eurotiales; Aspergillaceae. The record is from RNAcentral.
CGGGUCCACCUCCCACCCGUGUUUAUUUUACCUUGUUGCUUCGGCGGGCCCGCCUUUACUGGCCGCCGGGGGGCUCACGCCCCCGGGCCCGCGCCCGCCGAAGACACCCUCGAACUCUGUCUGAAGAUUGAAGUCUGAGGGAAAAUAUAAAUUAUUUAAAACUUUCAACAACGGAUCUCUUGGUUCCGGCAUCGAUGAAGAACGCAGCGAAAUGCGAUACGUAAUGUGAAUUGCAAAUUCAGUGAAUCAUCGAGUCUUUGAACGCACAUUGCGCCCCCUGGUAUUCCGGGGGGCAUGCCUGUCCGAGCGUCAUUGCUGCCCUCAAGCCCGGCUUGUGUGUUGGGCCCCGUCCUCCGAUUCCGGGGGACGGGCCCGAAAGGCAGCGGCGGCACCGCGUCCGGUCCUCGAGCGUAUGGGGCUUUGUCACCCGCUCUGUAGGCCCGGCCGGCGCUUGCCGAUCAACCCAAAUUUUUAUCCAGGUUGACCUCGGAUCAGGUAGGGAUACCCGCUGAACUUAAGCAUAUCGAUAAGCGGAGGAA